Molecule: long non-coding RNA, 4311 nt
Filed under: Homo sapiens (human)
Lineage: Eukaryota; Metazoa; Chordata; Mammalia; Primates; Hominidae
Description: HSALNT0166692
Source: RNAcentral
CACAAAUAAACAUAAGACAAUGUAUUUUUUUUUUAAUUUGGAACACAAAUGCUUUAUUUAAGGGUGCAUCACAAUUCCCGUGUGGUGAGCAAAAAAUAAAAUAAAGGAGCAGAUCGUAGCACACCAUUCCCACUGGCCAAGUGGUUGAACCCUGCAUCCAAGACCCAGUGAGCAGCCAAGUGAGGUGCAACCUCUGGGCCUCUCACUCAUGACUCCAACAGAAUUAGCACAUUGCCCUUGUGCAUGGGGCCUUUUACAUUGCAGAUUUUGGAGCAGCAAGACAAUGUAUAUCUGUUCGUAACUCUUGUUCUUCCCUCCUGAUUUUUAAAACUGCGUAAUUAUAAAACUAUGUUGAUGGACAUAUAAUUAUUAUAAAGAUGUAGUUUGUGACAAUAACAGCAUGGGCAGAAUGAAGGCAUAUAGAGCAAAUUUUUCAUUACUGAAAUUAAGUUGAGAUUAAUCUGAAACAGAUAAAACAGACUUGUUUUACAACCUCCUGUAAUAAAAACGCUGUCUUUUAAAACAAAUUAUCUAUUGCACUUUUUUGUUUUUGGUGUCACAGCUAUGAAAGCUUUGCCUAGAGAAUUAUCACAAAUACUUACAUUUUUUGUAAGUUUUACAGUUUUUGCUUGUAUUUAGGUCUAUGAUCCAUUUUGAGUUAAUUUUUGUGUACAUAGUGUGAAGAACACUUUUUCUUCAAACUUUUUGUUUCAGAUUGCAUAUCCUCUAUCAAUCUGCAGGUUUGCUGAUUCUUUCUUCUGCCAUCUCAAAUCUAGUAUUGAGCCUUUCUAGUAACUUUUAAAAUUGUAGUUAUUGUACUUUUCAACUCCAGAAUUUUCAUUUAGUUCUUUAAAAAAAAUUUCUAUCUCUAUGUUCUCUACUUGGUGAGACAUUAGAAUACUUUCCUUAAUUCUUCACAUCUGGCUUCCUUUAGUUCUUUGGGUUUACUUAUUUAUUUUGAGGUGGAGUCUCGCUGCCUCCCAGGCUGGACAGCAAUGGCGCAAUCUCGGCUCACUGCAACCUCUGCCUCCUGAGUUCAAGCGAUUCUCCUGCCUCAGCCUCCUGAGUAGCUGGGACUACAGGCGCCCACCACGCUUGGCCAAUUUAUUUUUAGUAGAGACGGGGUUUCACCAUUUUGGCCAGGCUGGUCUCAAACUCCUGGCCUCAAGUGAUCCACCCACCUCAGCCUCCCAAACUGCUGGCAUUACAGGCAUGAACCACUGCACUCAGCCUUUUGAACAUACAUUUGUAACAGCUGCUUAGCAUUUAUCCUAAAUUUGGUAUCCCUCAAAACUUUAUAUUUCCUACAUUUCUCUGUCAUAUAGGACACAUACUUUUCUGUUUCUUUGCAUAUCUCAAUUUUUGUGUUGAAACUGGACAUUUUAGGUAACACAGAUCUCUGCAUACUGAUCAUCUUCCUUUAGUGACUUGGCUUGACUAAUUAAUGUAUGGCUUGAAGACUGCUUUCACUACUUAAGGAGUUUACAAGUUUGCCCUUCAUUUGGCCAGGAACUUGUAGUUUAGAAGUUCUCUCUGGUCAGUCCUCUGAGAUGGCAGCCUUCAGCAUGCACAGUCUUCCUGAUCACAAGGGAUGUCUGUAGUUUUAUCUAGGUUGUCUCUUUCCCUGAUCCUUUCUUUCUUUUUGAGACAGAGUCUCGCUCUGUCGCCUAGGCUGGAGUGCAGCGGUGCGAUCUCGGCUCACUGCAAGUUCCGCCUCCCGGGUUCACACCAUCCUCUUGCCUCAGACUCUCGAGUAGUGGGACUACAGGUGCACGCUGCCAUGCCUGGCUAUUUUUUUGUAUUUUUAGGAGGGACGCAGUUUCACCGUGUUAGCCAGGAUGGUCUCGAUCUCCUGACCUUGUGAUCCGCCCGUCUCGGCCUCCCAGAGUGCUGGGAUUACAGACUGAGCCACCGUGCCUGGCCUCCCUGAUCCUUUCUUUAAGCUUCUGGUUAUCUAUUGGAAUGACCUGGCAACUGUUGAACCUCCACUGUUACUGAUUGCUCUACUGUUUUCUACAAUACUCUGAAGUCUGUUACAAAUAAAGUCAGGCCCUGUGACAGUUAAUUUUCAGUGUCAACUUGAAUGCAUUAAGGAAUACCUAGACAACUGGUAAAACAUUAUUUCUGAAUGUGUCUGUGAGGGUGUUUUCAGAGACUGGUAUGUGAGCCAUUACACUGAAUGGGGAAGAUUUGCCCACAAUGUGAUUGACGCACAAUCCAAACAGCUAGGAGCCUGGACAGAAGGAAAAGAGAAAAAGCUAAUUCUCUCUCCACUAACUUCCUCCCCCCACGCCUAACGCCAUACCCCAGGAGCUGAGACAGCUUUAUUUUCAUGCCCUUGGACAUCAGAACUCCAGGGUUUCAGGCCUUUGGAUUCGAGGACUUACACCCGUGGCCCCUUGGUUCUCAGGCCUUCUAUCUCAGUCUGAGAGUUACACCACCAGUUUUCCUGGUUCUGAGGCUUCUGGACUUCGACUGAGUCAUGCUACCACCAUCACUACGUCUCUAGCUUGCAGACAGCCUAGUGUGGGACUUCCUAGCCUCCAUAAUUACAUAACCUAAUUCCCUCAAGACAUGCCCUCAUAUUGGUUCUGUAUCUCUGAAAAACCCUAAUUCAGGCCUCUUGUAAUAAUGUGUUGUCAGUUUUUGAAGCUUACUCCAACCCUCCACUGAACAGAACCUCUGUACCUUUAUGCUAUGGAACAGCUGGAGGAUAGAAAGAAUGGUAAAUCAGCUCUUCAGUGAAUGCCCAAACCACAAUCCUCCCUGUAAAGCAGCUCUGUUAGAGGAAGAGGGUAAUGGGGGUAGGGGUGGGGGACAAAGUUCUAAAAAUGUAAUCUGCUAAGCAGGUAUAUUUAGUCUUCCACUCAGAAAUACUAUGUAUCUCCCAGUUAUAUCUUACAGGUUUGGUUUGGUGUCUGUUUUUUUUUUUUUUUUUUUGGUUGUUGUUGUUUUUUGGCAGGCUUGUAUUAUUUUGUGCCUCUUAUUAUAGACGGGUCUUACUGGCUGGGCAUGGUGGCUCAUGCCUAUAAUCCCAGACUUUGGGAGGCCAAGGCAGGUGAAUCACUUGAGGUCAGGAGUUUAAGACCAGCCUAGCCAACAUGGUGAAACCCCAUCGCUACUAAAAAUAUGAAAAUUAGCUGGGUAUCGUGGUGGGCACCUGUAAUCCCACUACAGGAGCGGUACUUGAACCCGGGAGGCAGAGGCUGCAGUGAGCCAAGACUGUGCCACUGCACUCCAGCCUGGGGAACAGAGUGAGACUCCAUCUCGAAAAAUAAAUAAAUGGGUCUUCUUUUAUUGUUCCCCAGUUGAUUACUGUUAAUUGUUCAGGAAAGUAACUAAUUUUCAGUGUACUCCUUUAAACUUCCAAGAUAUUAAAAGCAAGUCAUCUACAAGAGUAUUUUGGUCUCUCUCCCAAAUUUAACUUUCAUUUUGCUUUCCUAUUCUUUGACAUUAGCAAUAGCUUAUGAUGUAAUUGAUGAUCGCAGGCAACAUUUCACUCCUUAAUUGAAAGAUGUAUUUCAUGAGUUGCCACAUAAACAUAACCCUUACUUUUGGUUUAAGCACUUUGAAGUAUAUGGAAAAAUUCUUAUUUUAACACAUUAGAAAUGUCUUUACUAGGAAAAAGUAUUUAAAUUAAGCACAUUCUUGGCAUCUCCUAAAUUCAUGACUUCUAAAAUUGAUGUACAUUAUAUUUUUUCCACACUAUUUACUUGAAAGUUUCCACUCUUGUAACAAUUAUUCUCGUUUUAAAAAGAUUCCUAAAUUUGGAGGCAUUAACAGAAGCUUUGUUAAACUAGUCAAAAAGCACCUCAAAGAUGACUUCAUGAAAUACUUCCUCCAAGAUACUAAUUACUUCUCAAUUCUCCAGUUAUUAAGAGAGGCAUACAUAAAUUAAUAAACAUCAAACUCAACCAUUUCAACUCUCCAUUACAGGAAAAAGUUUCCACUAAUGCCAUACUCUGCUAACUAGCAACAAAUACCACCCUGAAAAAUCCCCCCAGUAAGUUUUGCUAGAUGAGAUCCCCAAUGGGUCAAGGUAGUAUGCUGAGAGCAAGGAUCCUAACAAGUUGCUAAGGCAAAGAACAGAGCCAACGCCCCAAAUGGCUCUGUUAAGAAAGUUAAGGAAGGAAGUAGAUGUCAAUGGUGAAAAGGAAUCUUAUUUUUAAAAAAUCAAGAUAAGCUGUAUGGAAUUAGUAUAUAAUAUUCUGUUUUUAAUUCACCUCCAUUUUCUCCCACCCCAAGAACUUCUAUUACUUUUUCUUAACAGCUAUUUCAAAUCACUGAAAGAAUAUCUAAGUCCUUUUCCCA